AAGUCGUAACAAGGUUUCCGUAGGUGAACCUGCGGAAGGAUCAUUAAUACGCUUUUGUUUGUAACAAAACAAAACGUUUUAAACUCCAAAAGAAAUAGUGGAAAUAUAACUUCCGGAUGCGAAUUGUUGGGAACUGAGUAAAAUCGGUUCUUUGAAAAAAGGGACUUCAAGCAAUUGACACUUCAGAGUAGAGCAGUGAGGUGAAAUUCUCUUUAAUGAGAGUUUGGUUCUGAAAACAUUUGUAUCCGGUUAUCAUAAUCUGUUCUUCAACCUCCAAAAUAUCAAACAAUAAACCCCAUGUACAACAACUUGAACUAAACAUUUUUUUGUCGUCCGCUUACACACUUGUUGUGUGAGAAGAUACUGCAAAGAAAAAACCUGAACUUAAGAACAACUCUUAACAACGGAUAUCUUGGUUCUC
This 421-nucleotide unclassified non-coding RNA is filed under the name fungal sp. RNAcentral's name for it is "partial internal transcribed spacer region". The stretch from base 1 to 46 matches the Rfam family "Eukaryotic small subunit ribosomal RNA", at positions 1786 to 1831 of the family's 1831-position model. Lineage: Eukaryota; Fungi. The record is from RNAcentral.